UUUGAGUAAGUGAAAUGAAGCGUGAAUAACUGCCUAAUUAGUGGACAUGAAAACUGGACAGUCUCCAAAGUCAUCAGAGAUGACCACGCUUGCCAGGCAACUUACUAGACUAAGGGCACACAAUGAGCCUCACGUAAGCAUCAGGUACUACAUUUAGGAAGAGAGAUGGUGGUGACGUGCCCAUCAUGCAGGAAGCUUCUCCAAGGCUGGCGAGAGCAACUUGUCUGCUUUGAGAAAUGCAGAUCUAUCAGGAUCCAGAAUCGGACUCUGAAAAAGCUGUCAUUUCAUGUCUCUAAAACAGCCUUUGAUUUAAUGUACAAGAUGUCAAGAAGUAAAGGACAAUAAAAUAAAAACCAAAAAAGGAGAACUAUUUCAAUUAAGAAGCAUUCCUAUAUCAAUUCUUGGAAAUCACAUAAAAUAAAAGCUGUCAGAAUCA
RNAcentral lists this long non-coding RNA (436 nucleotides) under Homo sapiens (human). RNAcentral's name for it is "HSALNT0294032". The record is from RNAcentral. Lineage: Eukaryota; Metazoa; Chordata; Mammalia; Primates; Hominidae.